Molecule: long non-coding RNA, 847 nt
Organism: Apis mellifera (honey bee)
Lineage: Eukaryota; Metazoa; Arthropoda; Insecta; Hymenoptera; Apidae
Exons: 2
Source: RefSeq, a predicted model, not a curated record
GAGAAAAGAUACCGGUAGAGUCACGUCCGUCUCAUAAAAUCGACCCACGUCGCGGUGCUUAGCACAGCCACACCACCAGUGUGCUCUUCUAAACGAGAGAAGACGAAUCAAUUGAAAUUCAUUAAAGUUCAACCACAAACCGAGAUCUCGCGUAUAUGAACUGAAGGAUCGGACAGAGGGCGCUCGUGCUUCCGUCAAACGGUUAUAUUAUUCGAACAUUGUUAAUUCCGUAACAAUGCAUGUCGCGUAUCAGUGUUAAUUUUUAUCUCGUGCAAUAAGAUUCUCGACACUUGAGGAUGGUUGAGUCACCACGUAUAAGACAUCUUCUACGAUAAGUAUAUAUAUAUGUAUAUACAUAUACAUAUAUAUAUAUAUAUGUGUAACGAAAUAGAGAAAGAAAGGCAGAAAGAUUUCACGCGGUCAGCGUCAAUAUGUGGCAUUAAACAUGCUGAAAAAGGAUGUUAAAGGAUAAUGGGGAUAACGUCGAAAGACGUGGAUGAGGCAAAGCGAGCUUGUCGUUUCUCACGUGGUUGCUUACAAUGGCUAAUAGGUUAUUAUUUCUUAUACGAGUCGAGAAGAGGGGUAUACGAUAGAAAUUGCGCUCGAUGAAACACGCUUCCUAUUAUUUUUGUGUUUCUUUAAACGGCCGUCAAAAGAAUUUUUAUUACGACACAAUGCGCCACUCGAAGAGAAAUUUAUCUCUCUUGUGUACCGGUUGAAUGCUCGUAGACGGUGCAUUUCGGUCCGUUUAUGAGCGCAGAAUGGGAUUUACAUACACGCGCAGAGACACGCGAGAUCCCGCCACCCCUAUUUAAUUCCAUAUUACCCUUCCUGAAAGGAACAAAAA